This 7322-nucleotide long non-coding RNA is filed under the name Ananas comosus (pineapple). Its description in RNAcentral is "long non-coding RNA (ACOM_LNC016685)". The record is from RNAcentral. Lineage: Eukaryota; Viridiplantae; Streptophyta; Magnoliopsida; Poales; Bromeliaceae.
UAGAGUAUUUGAAGUGGCUAGAAAAUAAAUUUUGUGAUUUUUCGAUAUUAUUUGCCUAGUGAUCGAAGGGGCUCAAAAUCAAUAAUUUUAAUGGCCGUGGUGAGCCGUUUGCAAGUUUAACGGUGUAGAAAUAUUCAAAUCACGUGAAAUCUUGAUCGAAAAUUUUUUAUACUAUAUAAAACAAGAUCAAUAUUUUUGAUCUAAAAUUUUAAUGUCAUAUCAUCAUAUUUUGUAAGAUUUUUAUUUUCAGCAGUUGAUUUUAAGCCACUUCGAUCACUAGGCUAAUGAUAUCAAAAAAUCGCUAAAUUUAUUUUCUAGAUACUUAAAAUACUCUAAAUUAAGUCUAACGGAGCUGAUCCUCGAUACGAGGUUGGUAUGCUUCUGGAAGCACGGAGCCUUCCGUGCUUUCAAGUCGUUUUCGAUGUUGAGACUUUCAAAUCGAGGGUCGGCUUCGUUAAACUUGAUCUAGAGUAUUUGAAGUGGCUAGAAAAUAAAUUUUGUGAUUUUUCGAUAUUAUUUGCCUAGUGAUCGAAGGGGCUCAAAAUCAAUAAUUUUAAUGGCCGUGGUGAGCCGUUUGCAAGUUUAACGGUGUAGAAAUAUUUAAAUCACGUGAAAUUUUGAUCGGAAAAUUUUUUGAUACUCAGAUAAAACAAGGUCAUUAUUUUCUGAUCUAAAAAUUUUAAUAUGUCAUAUCAUCAUAUUUUGUUAGAUUUUUAUUUUCAGCGUGUUGAUGUUUAAGCACCAUUGCGAAUCACUUUAGGCUGAUGAUAUCAAAAAAUCGUAAAUUUAUUUUCUAGCCUACUAGUGAAAUGCUCACCAAUUAUAGUCUAAACGUAGCUCACAUCUCGAUUCGACGUUCCACAAACGAAACAAUUUCGAAAGACGGACGUCUCCGUGCUUCAAAAGCAUACCCACCCUCACUCAUAUUAUGUUUAGUUAAUAUAUUUAGAGCUAGGCUAAAUGAUACUAUUAAUGGUACCAAGUCGAUUGGUGCUACCAAAUUUUACAUUGGAUUAAGAGAUGUGCGGUUAAGAUGAGUGGCCCUAGGGUGAGUGGAGUGGUUCGGAUUGAAUUGUAUGAUCUAACGGACAUGAGAAAUGAUCAAAAGGGUAGAUCUAACGGCAGGAAACUGGUAGCACCAAAUGUUGAACUUCGUGCUAUUAUAGGAAGUAGCGGACUCUUUAUAUAUAUAUAAUCCCGCUAUGGAGCUUGUAAAGCCACCAAGCAGUUAGUGUUUCUAUUCAUUAGAUCAUACUAUUCAACCAAUCUACCCAUCUCAACCCUAGCGGAUACUAUAUAUCCUAACCGUAAUCUUUAAUCUAAGACUUUGAAAAUUGCAGCCACUAAUGACUUGGUAUAUUUUUCAAGCAUAGGGAUCUCAAAUUCUCUCUCUUCUCUCUCUCUCAAGCCUCUUGCACUUCUCUCUCUCUUUUCCCCCCAUAUCAUCACCGUACAUAAUAAUAUGUGCAUGUAUUUUAUAGGUAGGAUAUAGUACCGCUACUAUAUAUUAUAUAUAUAUUAUAUAUAUAUAUAUAUAUAUAUUAUUGUGCUGUGUGUGUGUGUGUGUGUGUGUGUGGUGUGUGUCGGCGUGUGUGUGUGUGUGUGUAUAUAUAUGUGCUUGUGUGUGUUACUAUAUAUAUAGUUAAUAUAUGUCGUGUUGUUGUGUGUGGGUAUAUAUUAUAUAUAUAGUGUGUGUGUGUGUACUUCAUUAUAUUAUAUGUGUGUGUGUUAUAUAUUAUAUAUUGUGUGUAGGAAUAAUAUAAUAUAAGUAUUGUAUAUAUAGAUAUAUGAUAGAGCUACUACACUAUCGAAAGUAUAGAGGAUCUGAUGCUUCCAACUUUUUGACUAUUGGAUUAAAAAUUAUACGGUUAGGAUGAUUGCGGUCCCCCCAGGGUUGAGUAGUACUCCUAGGGUUGAGUGGUCUCCACAGAGUAAUAAUAUUAAUCCAAAGGUUAGAAUGAUCAAAGGGAUUGAUCUAAGGGCCAAAAAAUCGAAAGUACUAGAUCCUCUAUGCUUCCGAUAGCAUAGUAGCUCUACUAUAUAUAUAUAUAUAUAUAUAUAUAUAAAAUUGAGCUAGAAUACUUUUAGAAGUAUUACCCCCUUGGUGCUUCUAGGUUUUUAGCCCUUAGAUCUACUCCUUGAUUACUAAUAGCCAUUGGAUCAAGCACUAUUCCACUUACCGCCACCUACCACCACCAACCACCAUCAUCUCAACCUUAUAUUUCUCAAUCCAAGGGUUAAAAACUCCAAAGCACCAACCGCUUGGUGCUUUUGAGAGUAUUCUAGCUCAACUCUCUCUCUCUCUCUCUCUCUCUCUCUCUCUCUGUGUCACGUCCCGAGACCGCUACCAAUUUGGUCCGGUCCGGGCGCGUCGAACAGACGCCGAACGGACAGGACCUCCCUUGUCCGCCCAAGGCUAACCACUGAUCAUGUAUAAGAACUUAUCCAAGAAUCAGUUCAUAAAUACAUGAUCACAAAGAGCACCACCAGUGCUAACAACCAAGAGCAGGAUACAAGUAUGAGACAUACAAGUAAAUAAAGAGAGAAAGCUCUAUCUAUUACAUUCAUUCAACUUAAUACAUUUAAUACCAUCUUUUACAUUCUUCUAAAACAUGUGUACAAGCACUCUCAAACCUCACUUUAUACAACAUCUACUCUCAAACAUAAAUAUAGGGUGGAGCUAAUGCAAAAUAGGUGGAUAGCUAAUGCAACUAGAGCGCUAAGCCCUUACCACGAUCCUCACGCUCGCCGGGGACACCCGAGCUCGAACCUGAAAAGAGUGGGGUGAGAACUAUCUUCUAUAGUUCCCAGUUGGUUCGGCCGUCGACUCCGCCGAUCUCCCCACUAGGUCCAAGUGGGUACAAAUAGAUAAACCGAUAGAUAGAUAUGGAAAGCUGUAAUAACAGAAUAGCAAGCUACGCUACCAUGCCCGAAUCAUAUAUAUGAAGAUGCAUGCACAAUGAAAUGAAUAAUCAACUAGCUCUUCAUAUGUCCAAGAAGUAAAGUGUUCAUUAAUCUCGUGGCUCAUUCAAGGAUCCGCCUACUACUCACAUAGCCGUCUCGAUACUACGAAUCCGAGACCGUCUGCGGGACCCCACAUAGGCCAUCCCUCGGGACCCCAAAUAGGCCAUCCCUAUCCCACGGGACUCCAAAUAGGCCAUCCCUCAUGACUGACUCCGGAGCGAUCUACUUGUGUGGAGCGACCACCACAAGUCGGGAACAGACAAUGAGUAUGAUCCAAUUCUCUCACCUCACGGGUGCCCUAUCCUUUAGGGUUACUACCACCAUAGUCAAUGGGUUUCAUAUACGCUACGACUCACACGUGCCACUCGUUCUUUGUUUAAUUAACAACUAGAUGCCACUCGUUCUUUCAUUUCAACUAUUGCAUCGUUCUUUCACCGUUGCACUAUAGGAUUACAAGUCUCGACCCAAUCCUCAUCAAUCCCCUAUAUCCAGCAACUAAUGCAUAUUAUAAUAUCAGCUAGGAAGGCAUAAAGAAAGGCGAUACACAAUUAUCCUACAAUGCAUGUGAACACAGGAUGCAAGAUCUCAAGUACUAAGACAUAAAAGGGAGCCCGAUUGCUUCGAGAUGGUCACCACCCACCUCUUGGUGAUGCCGCGACGGUGGAAAACUCGACGCUGCGGUCCUUGCACGUCGCUUCAACUCCUCGGGGCGAAGCGAGCCCUCAAGCACUCGUUUUGGCGAUAACUCCGCACUCGCUCGACGGAUUAACGAACCGUCUUCGCCGACGCGUUCAGGGACCUAGCAAUUAGGUUUACGACCUAUUAAAAUAGAUCAAAACCCUAGAUUUCCAAAAAUUCCGAAUCCGUGCCCUAGGUUAGCAACGGUGAGGAAAUCCGUGGUGCGAGCUUCAAAUGCGAGCCCGAACCAUCUAUUUAUCUCCUCUAAGUUCCAUUCGAACCAUUUCUAAGCAAUAAAACCCAAUCUCAAGAAAUUCACCAUGGAUGGGUUUGAGGCUUACCUCUACACAAAGCUCCAAGCUUGCUCUAGCUUGAAGGAGAGAGGGAAGAAGAUGAUCUUUUUCUUCUUCUUUGUCUUCUCCUUCCUCUUAUUCUUCUUUUCCUUCAUUUUCUUCCUCUCCUUCUUCUUCUCCUUCUUUUCUUUCUAGAGAGAGAGAGGGAAAGGGUGUGAGAGGGUUAGAGAGCAAAUGAGAGGAAGAGAGGUCCCCCACCCUUUAUUAAAGGCUAUUUUGCAAAUAGCCCCCUCAACUUUUCAUCUUCUGAAUCAGCCCUCACUGGGCAUUUUCGCAGUGAGGGACGGGUCCCAGCUCGGGGAGACCGGUCCCCGAGAGCAUUCCAUCUCGGGCAGAGGGUAUUUCGCAUUCGGGAACCGGUCCUUGCCUGAGAGACCGGUCUCCCGUCCGUGCCUGAGAGACCGGUCCCCGGGAGACCGGUCCUUGUCCGAGAGACAGGUUCUUGAAAGUUGGAUUUUCGGGACUUAGCCAAUUUUCGGCUGUUCUCGCUGGGCCAACGUUCGGGAACCGGUCUUCCCCUACCAGGGACCGGUCGCCUCAAGGAUCCCUGCAGCCCAGCCUGAUGGGACCGGUCCCUCCCUACCAGGGACCGGUCCCCAAGAGCAAUUAUGCUCCAGUGCAGAUUUCACACUCGUGCUCUCGCGGACUCUUCUUUAAUGCACUUUAAGCAUUAUAAUCCCCUUCGGACUUUCCGAAGCUUACACACUCGACAAUCAGUCGAUUCUAAGCGAAGUAUAAUCCUCGGAUUUUGAGAAUCCGAGGGUUGGUCUACCACACACACACACCCUUCUCUCUCUCUUCUCUUCUUUCUUUCUCUCUCGUCUCUCUCUCUCUCUCCUCUCUCCUUCUCUAUCUCCUUAUAUAUAUAUAUAUAUAAUAUAUUAAUAUAUUAUUUAUAUAAUAUAUAUAUAUAUAUAGUAGGUCUUGUGUGCUUUUAGGAGCACGGAGACCUCCAUGCUCCUGAGCUGUUUUCGAUGAUGGAGCUUCCGAAUCGACGAUCGGCUCCGUUAGACUUGAUCUAGUAUAUUUGAAGUAUCUAGAAAAUAAAUUUUGUGACUUUUCGAUAUCAUUUACCUAACGGUUGAAAGGGUUCAAAAUCAACCGCUAAAAAUAAAAAUCUCACAAAAAGUAAUGAUAUAGCAUUAAAAUUUUCGAUCAAACAUAUUGAUCUUGCUGUAAAUAGUAUAAAGAAUUUUCUAUCAAAAUUUCAUGUGAUUUGAAAACUUCUACACCGUUAAACUUGCAAACGGUUAUAUCAACCAUUAAAAAUUAUUGAUUUUGAACCCUUUUGAUUGCAAGGAAAAUGAUAUCGAAAAAUCACAAAAAUUAUUUUCUAGAUAGCUCAAAUACGCUAGAUCAAGUCUAACGGAGCCGAUCGUUAAUUCGGAAGCUCUAUCAUCGAAAACGGCUUAGGAGCACGGAGGCCUCCGUGCUCCUAAUAGCACACAAGACCUACUCUCUCUCUCUCUCUCUCUCUCUCUCUCUCUCUCUCUCUCUCUCUCUCUAUAUAUAUAUAUAUAUAUAUAUAUAUAUAACUAAGCUGAAAUACUAUCAAUAGCACUAAGCUAUUGGUGCUAUUAGUUUUUUAGCCAUUGGAUUGAGAAAUGUAUGGUUAGGAUGAUGUGGGCCCCCUAGAGUUGAGUGGGUGGUUGGUUAAAUAAGAUAUAAUCUAACGGGUAAAAAUAAUCAAAGAAUAUAAAUUUAAUGGUGGAAAAUUGAUAUCACUAAGUUCUUGUACUAUCGAUAGACAUAGGGGUAUUCUUAAUAGAUAUAAGUAAUUAUAUAAUAUAAUAUAUAUAUAUAUCAGCUCCUAUUGCUUUUAAAAGUACCAAGUCAUUGGUGCUUGUAAUUUUUCGGCCCUUAGAUUAAGGAGGUGUCGGUCUAGGAUGAUGUAGGCCCCCUAGGUUGAGUGUUAGGUUAGUUCGAUGAUAGUAUAAUCUUUACGGGGUGAAAAUGUAUUAAAUGCGUAUAGAUCUAACGGUAAAAAAUUCACAAACAUAGUGCUUGAUGCUUUUACAGUACCAUAGUCGGACUCUCUCUCUCUCUUCUCUCUCUCUCUUCUCUCUCUAUUAUAUAUAUAUAUAUAUAUAUUAUAUAUAUAAUUGUACUAGAAUACGCCUAGAAGCACCAACCUCUUGGCGUGCUUUUAGUUUUCUAACCUUUAUCUACCUUUUGACUACUAAUAAACUUUGGAUUAAAACAUAUCACCUACCACUACCUACCACCAUCAUCCUACCCUGCAUCACUCCUUCAAGAGCUAAAAAGUUAAAAGCACAAACCGCUUGAUAUUUUUGGAAGUAUUGUAGCUCAACUAUAUAUCUAUAUAUAUAUAUAUAUAUAUAUAUAAUAUAAUAAUAUAUAAUAUAUAUAUAUAUAUAUAUAAUUGUACUAGAAUACGCCUAGAAGCACCAACCUCUUGGUGCUUUUAGUUUUCUAACCCUUGGAUCUACCUUUUGACUACUAAUAAACUUUGGAUUAAAACACUAUAUCCACCUACCACUACCUUACCACCAUACACCUACCCUGCAUCACUCCAUUCAAGAGCUAAAAAGUUAAAAGCACAAACGCUUAUAUUUUGGAAGUAUGUAGCAUCACCUAUAUAUCUAUAUAUAAAUAUAUAAUAUAUAUAUAUAUAUAUUGUAUAUAAUAUAUAUUAUAUAGUUAUAUAUAUAGAGAGAGAGAGAAGGAGAGAGAGAGGACGGAGAGAGGGAGAAGAGAGAGGAGAUGCACAAAAGCUGACAAGUAGAAGGGGGUAGAGACAAACCAGAGGGAGAGAAAGCCAGAGAGAAGGCGAAGAUGAGAUGAGAGAGAGAGUAGGUCUUGUGUGCUAUUAGGAGCACGGAGGCCUCCGUCCUCCUAAGCCGUUUUGAUGAUGGAGCUUCCGAAUCGACGAUCGGCUCCGUUAGAUUUGAUCUAGCGUAUUUGAAGUAUCUAGAAAAUAAAUUUUGCGAUUUUUCAAUAUCAUUUACCUAACGAUCAAACGGGUUCAAAAUUAAUAAUUUUUAAUGGUUGAUGUAUACCAUUUGCAAGUUUAAUGGUGUAGAAGUAUUCAAAUUAGAUAAAAUUUUGGUAGAAAAUUUUUUAUACUAUUUACAGCAAGAUCAAUAUCUCUAAUCGAAAAUUUUAGUGCUAUAUCACCACUUUUUUUGAGAUUUUUAUUUUCAGCCGUUGAUUUUGAACCCUUUCGAUCGCUAGGUAAAUAAUAUCGAAAAAUCACAAAAUUUAUUUUCUAGAUACUUCAAAUACGCUAGAUCAAGUCUAAUGGAGUCGAUCGUCGAUUCGGAAGCUCCAUGAUCGAAAACGGUUUAGGAGCAUGGAGGCCUCCGU